Solanum lycopersicum (tomato) is the source of this 1481-nucleotide non-coding RNA. Lineage: Eukaryota; Viridiplantae; Streptophyta; Magnoliopsida; Solanales; Solanaceae. The record is from RefSeq and is a predicted model, not a curated record.
AUGUUGGGAAACCACCACAUAUACUAACACCAUUUUUUAACGCCCAUUUUCAUAUAAAUUCUCCGUCUAACUUUAAUUUAAACGCAAUCCACAUUUACUAAAAAUAGUAUAAUCUCACAUAUUCCAUUCCUUACGUGUCUUCAUAUGAAGUCGAAUUCAAACAGGCCCAACUUUGACCGCUACUAUAUCGGUAUAUAUUACUUCACAUUUUUCAUUUCUCACAAUAACGGCUUUCUUUCUUUCUUCUUCUCUUUCUUUCUUUUUUUUCUUCUUCUUGUUUUCUUGAGGAAGAAGGUGAUGGAAAAUUGUUAGUUUUUCGAUUUUUUACAUUGUAAAGAGGAAAUGACGAUGACCCACAAUAGGUGUUCGUCAGUUUCGAGUGCGGUGACGAAGAGACAAGCAAUGGUGGCGGAUUCAUCGGGGUUGGAGAACAAUCAGGCCGGAAAUUUCUAAUAUCUCGAAUUUAUACAACUGUAUCUGCUCGUAAUGGAUUUCUCAUUCCUCCAAACUUUGAUGCUGCAGUUGUAAUGCUCUCAGGUCAAGUUGCAGAUGGAUUGACUACUAUAUUUGCUGGGGAACUGGUAUCUCUCAAGAACAUAGACAGAUUUGGGCAUUUUGAAGUAUGGCAUAUUGCAGGAUCUCUCUUGGUUGCUGUCUCAUUUUCUUCCAUGUUUGGCGGUUGCUUGCCUUGCAAACUUAUUGGUUCUGAUUCGGCCAUGCUGCAAACUAUUGGUUACAGUGUGUUCGCUGCAAUCUUCAAUGUGGGAUGGGCUGCUUCUCAAGUAUCGCACAUGUAAUGUUUGCUCCUAUCUAUCUUCUUGUUCUAAAUAUUAUAAGACUGCCAGGUUUGCCCAUUUACUCCUGAAAACCUUCUUACGGCACGAUUAACAUAUUAGUGCAGUAUUUGGAGGGCUGUUUUCUUUGACUAAGUAAAAGAUCUAGAUCCUCCAUCAUUCCUUUGUAGAAAAAAAAAACCCAGCUAAUUCAUGUCUUCCUUCUCCUCCUCAAGUUAUAAGCAAUAAGAAUGUGAAUGGCAAUCCAUGUACUUUCCACCCCUAAAAAAAGUUAUCUUUCUCCAUGUUCAUCAAAAAGAAAUACUCUCCUGUUGCUGCAGUAAACUAUAUGACUGGAUAGUAAUUUUUCUGAUUAUGUGCAUAGUAGAUCAUUUCUACUGAAUGGACUGAAUAGGAACUAUUACUCAAAGGAUUCAUGUAGCUGACCUCAACUAAUUUGUGAUUGAGGCAUAGAAGAUUAUUUAUGUCGAUUUCUUACUUUGAAGGGAAUAUUAGCUUUCAAAAUGGAAGAAGCUAAAGAAAAUCGGUUAGAAUUUUAGCUUUCGUCAAAAGGAUAAGUAGGAAUUGUAGGACAAAUUACAUAUUCCCGUGUUACUUUUAUCUCUUUCGAAUAAAUAAAAUAAAAAUAACUCUGUUAGGUUCCUCGUUCAAUAUCCAUGUUCCCUAUACUUGCAUUCUAACUACACU